This 764-nucleotide ribosomal RNA is filed under the name soil fungal sp. DM2-330. Its description in RNAcentral is "eukaryotic LSU rRNA". It matches the Rfam family "Eukaryotic large subunit ribosomal RNA", at positions 99 to 894 of the family's 3401-position model. Lineage: Eukaryota; Fungi. The record is from RNAcentral.
GCGGCACAGCUCAAAUUUGAAAUCUGGCCCCUAGGGCCCGAGUUGUAAUUUGCAGAGGAUGCUUUUGGCGCGGUGCCUUCCGAGUUCCCUGGAACGGGACGCCAUAGAGGGUGAGAGCCCCGUCUGGUCGGACACCAAGCCAGUGUAAAGCUCCUUCGACGAGUCGAGUAGUUUGGGAAUGCUGCUCUAAAUGGGAGGUAUAUGUCUUCUAAAGCUAAAUACCGGCCAGAGACCGAUAGCGCACAAGUAGAGUGAUCGAAAGAUGAAAAGCACUUUGAAAAGAGGGUUAAACAGUACGUGAAAUUGUUGAAAGGGAAGCGUUUAUGACCAGACUUGGGCCCGGUGAAUCAUCCAGCGUUCUCGCUGGUGCACUUUGCCGGGCUCAGGCCAGCAUCAGUUCGUCGCGGGGGAUAAAAGCUUCGGGAACGUGGCUCCCUCGGGAGUGUUAUAGCCCGUUGCAUAAUACCCUGCGGUGGACUGAGGUUCGCGCUCCGCAAGGAUGCUGGCGUAAUGGUCAUCAGCGACCCGUCUUGAAACACGGACCAAGGAGUCGUCUUCGUAUGCGAGUGUUCGGGUGUCAAACCCCUACGCGUAAUGAAAGUGAACGCAGGUGAGAGCUUCGGCGCAUCAUCGACCGAUCCUGAUGUUCUCGGAUGGAUUUGAGUAAGAGCAUACGGGGCCGGACCCGAAAGAAGGUGAACUAUGCCUGUAUAGGGUGAAGCCAGAGGAAACUCUGGUGGAGGCUCGCAGCGGUUCUGACGUGC